UUGAAAGGGAAACGAUUGCAAUCAGUCGUCCUGGCAUGAAAUCAACUUCCCACGCUUGAAAGUGUUUGCGGGUGAACCUAAAAACCAUUGCCUUACAUUUUCGGGCGAGCAGGGCACUUUUGUGUUCGCUGGUUACCCUCAAUUUCGACCGUCAUAAAAAGGCCGGGGGGAUUCGGCCCCUUCGGGAGUGUUAUAACCCUUAGCGGAAUGUGGUGGACGAGAUUGAGGUUUUCAACGGGGGACGCUUCUCCAGGCCUCUCGCCGGCGUCUUGGCGGCGACAGCUCGCUGACGUCUUAAGAACCGCAGUCGAAAAGGUUAGAGCGGACCGAUUCGUUAAGGAUGUUGACGUA
RNAcentral lists this ribosomal RNA (351 nucleotides) under uncultured Glomeromycotina. RNAcentral describes it as "LSU rRNA". The record is from RNAcentral. Lineage: Eukaryota; Fungi; Glomeromycota.